This 85-nucleotide transfer RNA is filed under the name Felis catus (domestic cat). It matches the Rfam family "tRNA". Rfam says of the family: Transfer RNA (tRNA) molecules are approximately 80 nucleotides in length. Their secondary structure includes four short double-helical elements and three loops (D, anti-codon, and T loops). Further hydrogen bonds mediate the characteristic L-shaped molecular structure. tRNAs have two regions of fundamental functional importance: the anti-codon, which is responsible for specific mRNA codon recognition, and the 3' end, to which the tRNAs corresponding amino acid is attached (by aminoacyl-tRNA synthetases). tRNAs cope with the degeneracy of the genetic code in two manners: having more than one tRNA (with a specific anti-codon) for a particular amino acid; and 'wobble' base-pairing, i.e. permitting non-standard base-pairing at the 3rd anti-codon position. Lineage: Eukaryota; Metazoa; Chordata; Mammalia; Carnivora; Felidae. The record is from Rfam by way of RNAcentral.
GCCUGGGUGGCUCAGUCGGUUGAGCAUCUGACUUUGGCUCAGGUCAUGAUCUCACAGCUUGUGGGUUUGAGCCCCGUGUUGGGCU